UACGAAGGUGGCAAGCGUUACUCGGAAUUACUAGGCGUAAAGGGCAGGUAGGUGGUUUGGUUAGUCUGUUGUGAAAGCUCCUUGCUUAACGGGGAGAGGCCAACAGAUACUGCCAGGCUUGAGUAUAGGAGAGGGUACUGGAAUUCCCGGUGUAGCGGUGAAAUGCGCAGAGAUCGGGAGGAACACCAAUGGCGAAAGCAGGUACCUGGACUAUUACUGACACUAAGCUGCGAAAGCUAGGGGAGCAAACAGG
Molecule: ribosomal RNA, 253 nt
Filed under: uncultured bacterium
Lineage: Bacteria
Description: partial 16S ribosomal RNA
Rfam family: Bacterial small subunit ribosomal RNA
Source: RNAcentral